GAUGAACGCUAGCGGCAGGCCUAACACAUGCAAGUCGAGGGGCAGCACAGAAACAGCAAUGUUUUGGUGGCGACCGGCGGACGGGUGCGUAACGCGUAUGCAACCUACCUUUAACAGGGGGAUAACGGAGAGAAAUUUCCACUAAUACCCCAUAACAUCGAUCAAGGCAUCUUGAUUGGUUGAAAACUCCGGUGGUUAAAGAUGGGCAUACGUUGUAUUAGGUAGUUGGUGAGGUAAGGGCUCACCAAGCCUACGAUACAUAGGGGGACUGAGAGGUUAGCCCCCCACACGGGUACUGAGACACGGACCAGACUCCUACGGGAGGCAGCAGUGAGGAAUAUUGGUCAAUGGGGGCAACCCUGAACCAGCCAUGCCGCGUGCAGGAAGACGGCUCUAUGAGUUGUAAACUGCUUUUAAACAGGGAUAAAGCACAGUAUGUAUACUGUGUUGAAGGUACUGUAAGAAUAAGGAUCGGCUAACUCCGUGCCAGCCGCCGCCGUAA
RNAcentral lists this ribosomal RNA (502 nucleotides) under uncultured bacterium. RNAcentral's name for it is "partial 16S ribosomal RNA". It matches the Rfam family "Bacterial small subunit ribosomal RNA", at positions 28 to 523 of the family's 1533-position model. The record is from RNAcentral.